UUAGGCAAGCAGAUGGGUGGCUGUGUGCAUGAAAGGGGUAGGAAGGUCAAAGGGCUCAGCUAAGAGAUCCUCCUUCUGCCUCUGGGCCUUGCCCUCCAGGCAGUGGUGAUGGCUUGUGAGAGAAACCUGACUCCUUUGAAGAGCUGGAUGAGUGAAUACUGAGCUGGGACAAAGUUUAAUGCUCUGAGGAUGGAACCCCUGAGGCCACAAAGUGACCUAUUGCUCCCUUUAAGAUGAAAUUCUGUGAAGUAUUAAACACACAGGGCUUAUUCACUUGUUUGUGCUGGCAACAGCAGUGUGUGCUUCCCAAAUUGUGCUGCCAAGUGCCUCAAACCUGACCCACAGCAUGGAGGUUUAGAUGCUGCUCAUCUUCAACCAUCCUUUGAGACAAGCACACCCUGCUCUCCAGAAAAGACACAGCAGUGUUUACACUGCUUGGGCUGCUAAAAAAAAAUCC
Molecule: non-coding RNA, 457 nt
Organism: Cyanistes caeruleus (blue tit)
Lineage: Eukaryota; Metazoa; Chordata; Aves; Passeriformes; Paridae
Source: RefSeq, a predicted model, not a curated record